RNAcentral lists this transfer RNA (77 nucleotides) under Alphaproteobacteria bacterium. Its description in RNAcentral is "tRNA-Arg". It matches the Rfam family "tRNA". Rfam says of the family: Transfer RNA (tRNA) molecules are approximately 80 nucleotides in length. Their secondary structure includes four short double-helical elements and three loops (D, anti-codon, and T loops). RNAcentral also lists the same sequence under 2 other names. Lineage: Bacteria; Pseudomonadati; Pseudomonadota; Alphaproteobacteria. The record is from RNAcentral.
GGUCCCGUAGCUCAACCGGAUAGAGCAACUGCCUUCUAAGCAGUAGGUUGCAGGUUCGAGUCCUGCCGGGAUCGCCA